GUUGCACACAGUUAGAGCCCUGCGCUGCUGGCGGUGCAUUGUGGGGUGUAGGAUGUGUGCUAAAACACUGCAGGGUCUCUGAUCUCUUCUUUCUGUUCUUCAUGAGAGCUGAGAAAAUGAAGAUCCUGCCACAAAU
RNAcentral lists this small nucleolar RNA (136 nucleotides) under Danio rerio (zebrafish). The record is from RNAcentral. Lineage: Eukaryota; Metazoa; Chordata; Actinopteri; Cypriniformes; Danionidae.